AACGAACGCUGGCGGCAUGCCUAACACAUGCAAGUCGAACGAGACCGUCGGGUCUAGUGGCGCACGGGUGCGUAACGCGUGGGAACCUGCCCGUAGGUUCGGAAUAACUCCCCGAAAGGGGUGCUAAGACCGGAUAAUGUCUUCGGACCAAAGAUUUAUCGCCUUUGGAUGGGCCCGCGUUGGAUUAGCUAGUUGGUAGGGUAAAAGCCUACCAAGGCGACGAUCCAUAGCUGGUCUGAGAGGAUGAUCAGCCACACUGGGACUGAGACACGGCCCAGACUCCUACGGGAGGCAGCAGUGGGGAAUAUUGGACGCUGGGCGAAAGCCUGAUCCAGCAAUGCCGCGUGAGUGAUGAAGGCCUUAGGGUUGUAAAGCUCUUUUACCCGGGAUGAUAAUGACAGUACCGGGAGAAUAAGCUCCGGCUAACUACGUG
Molecule: ribosomal RNA, 433 nt
Filed under: uncultured bacterium
Lineage: Bacteria
Description: partial 16S ribosomal RNA
Rfam family: Bacterial small subunit ribosomal RNA
Source: RNAcentral